GCGCCCGUGGCUCAACUGGAUAGAGUAACGGACUUCGAAUCCGUUGGUUACAGGUUCGAAUCCUGUCGGGCGCACCA
This 77-nucleotide transfer RNA is filed under the name Sulfurovum sp. Its description in RNAcentral is "tRNA-Arg". It matches the Rfam family "tRNA". From Rfam's summary of the family: Transfer RNA (tRNA) molecules are approximately 80 nucleotides in length. Their secondary structure includes four short double-helical elements and three loops (D, anti-codon, and T loops). Lineage: Bacteria; Pseudomonadati; Campylobacterota; Epsilonproteobacteria; Campylobacterales; Sulfurovaceae. The record is from RNAcentral. RNAcentral also lists the same sequence under 4 other names.